GAAAGCGAUGGAGGCUGUACCCAGUGUGUGCUGUCUUGCUGCUGCUAGAGCCAGCUCUAGAGGCUCAGCAGGAAGGAGGCUGAGACAACCCCGGGCUGUUCCUGCGACAUCAAUGGUUUGCCCACUAGGAGGCGCUAGGCUCUUAGCAAUAGAUGGGACGAAUUUGCACUGAGGCAGCAGCUGUAGUCAGCACAGUUCUAUCUUCUUCUCCGAGAUGUUGCCCUUGGCCAAAAACACACUAAACCGUCUCCAAGUUCAAAGCAUUCAGUAAGCAUUCUGACCAGGCAGAACCACCAGAAGCAGACACCUAAUUUCCAUGACAAAUAUGGAAAUGCUGUAUUAGCAGGUGGAGGCCUCUUCUGUGUUUCUAUAUGGACACAAACAGCAACAUAGAUUGGAAUAGAAUGGAACCUGUCCCCUCUUGGCAGUCACCUCAAAGGAAUGGAAUGGUCAAUAGACAUGCCAGUUGGUACAAUAAUCAAGGAAUUGUUUCAAAAUCAGCAUAAGUGAUGCCAAGUCAAAGAAUGCUGUAUUCACUAAAAUAUGGCAUAUUGAAGAAAAAUAAAGUACCUUUGAAACCUUAAAGAA
RNAcentral lists this long non-coding RNA (588 nucleotides) under Cricetulus griseus (Chinese hamster). RNAcentral describes it as "lncRNA (ENSCGRG00000026491.1)". The record is from RNAcentral. Lineage: Eukaryota; Metazoa; Chordata; Mammalia; Rodentia; Cricetidae.